UGAACCUUCCCCUAGUUUCUAACAUAAAAUGUGAUAUUUUCUACUGUCCGAAGGUUUAAUACCCUGGUUAUAUGUGACUAAUGUGGAUGAUGUUUUGUAAUGCGUAGAAAUUCAACAAAUAAACAAAUUUAAAAAACAAACAAAAAGAAUUUCUUCACAUUGGGUGCUUUUGAAAUAUGAUUAUACCUGAUAAAAAAACAGUAUAAGACUCUUGAUAUCCUUGUAUAAACGCACCUACAUGCCACAACAUGUGAAUUAAAACUAACAAAGCUAAUAAAACCCUGAGCUAAUUGUAUGGAAGAAGAACAUAGAAAAUAGAGUAUGUACGAAACAUGAUAUCACCACUUGAUAUCUUUGUCUAAGACCAUGCGUAGUCGAGUCAUGAUCUAAAAAUUGGGAUUAAUCGCCAAUUAAUUGACAAUUAAUUCCUAAUCUAGUAAUCAUGAUGUAAAAAUCGGGAUUAAUUGCCAAUUAAUUGAU
RNAcentral lists this long non-coding RNA (480 nucleotides) under Helianthus annuus (common sunflower). Its description in RNAcentral is "sRNA HanXRQr2_Chr09g0397391". Lineage: Eukaryota; Viridiplantae; Streptophyta; Magnoliopsida; Asterales; Asteraceae. The record is from RNAcentral.